GAUUAAAUCGUCACACAAUUGUAAAAUUGGCAGGAAAAAAUAGAUGUUUAAAAUUUAUAUAUUUUUUUCCUAUCAGAAAGAUUUAAACAAAGAAUUUUUAUCACGAUAUGAUAUCUAAUAAUUCUGAUUUCAAUUAUCGAACGGAUAUAAUCUGCGUUAAAAACCAGUAAUGGUUACAAAUGAAGACAGUAAAUACCGUUGAAACUUUCAUUACGAGUUAUAUCGUGGAAUUGCAUUACAAAUUAUAUUCGCGGAAAAAAAUUUGAUUUUUCGUUGGUUUCUCUGUGAAAUAGAAUGGAUUUAAAUAUAGAAUCACUUUAAUUUUCUUUUUUUUUUAAUAUCUUAGUCGUUGUUUGAUUUUUUAUUUAAACUUAACCUAAUUUAAUUAUUAAUUGUUUUUGUGAUACAAUGCUUUUUAUAAAUAUAAUUUUAUACUAUGUUUUAUAAUAUAUUCAUAAUUCGUAUUAAAAAUUUUAACAUAAUAAUAAAAUUUUUUAUUUCAAUAAAAAUUUUUUGUUGAUUAAAUAUAUAUGUUAAAUCUAUGUUAAUACGAAUAAAAUUAUAUCUUGAAUUAUGAAAGUAUACUAUUAAAGAAUCGGUACAAAUCUGAUUUGGGAUGAUACGUAUAAUGCUUUAGACUUUAUUUAAAUAAUUAAAUUAUCCGUCGAAAUUAUUUAACCUUUGUUUCUUUCACGAGACAAGAAUAUAUCGCAAGAAAAACUGGCGCUUUGAUCCGUUAUCGUGAUUUGUUCUAGAUCGAUAUUUUAAAACGAAAAGAUUUGUGAUUAUUUGAAUUUUCCUGUUCAUUGUGUGAAGAUAUUUCUACAGUGAUUUUUAUAGUUUUCAGCGGAGAAUUCAAUUGAAAAUGUGGAAAGAUGGAUGGAUAAAGAGGGUCAAGGAUCACCAAGCUCUUGCCAAGCUCGAAAAAAAGAUUGGACAAAUGAAGAUUUAUCUCCUUCACCGAGGAAUCAUUUUUUAUCUAUCGUCGGAAGAAAAUUUGAUUACGUAAGCAUAGAAAUUGAUGAAUGGCGAAGAAGAAUUGAACGAUCGAGCUACAGAUAUUUCGAUCAACGAACGACGUGAUACAAAUUCGCAUAAUGCAAUAAUGCAAAAAUCAAUAUAUAACGUAAUCAUGUUCGAAAAUGAAGAAGACGAAGAAAUCGAAGAUUUGUUGGAAAGUUUGGCUGCCUGUAUUGAUAUAGGGAUUCCAAUGGAAAAAUUUUUACGGGAGGAUACAUCAGGCACGCGCGCCCAAUUCUUCAAGCGGGCAGAAGAAAGUGGAACAAGGUUCGCGAUAAUCGUAUCGCCUAUGUUAAACACUGACGUGCUGCGCACGAAUGCAUCCAGAAGGAUGCGAUAACGCGUUGCACGAGUACACUCCAACAUAUGUAAUAUGAGGAAGAAAGAAGAUUGGAAAGAUGUGUAAAGAUAAAAUCGAUACGCUGUUUUUCAUGCUGAUCCUUCAUUUUUAUAGCAGAUGUAAUACCUUGAUUUUCGGAUGAUGAAUUAAUCGUUUAAACUGAGAGAUCGUGUUGUUUCGUAUUUUAAAAUUAAUUCAAAGAUAAAUUUUCUAAAACAUGUUUUGACGUCAGUUGUUAUGACGUUCAAAAAAAAAUACGCGUGUCUUAUAUAAAGGAAUAUCGAUUGACUUUGAAUAAUUUCAGAAGGGUGAAAUAAGAUUUUUAUAAUUAUAUUUCAUUUGUUCAAAGUUUGCGUAGCGUUAAUCUUCAAAUCAUCGUAAAUCAAAUGUUCCAAUUAAAGUUUUAACAGGCAAAAAUUUAAUUGAAAAUUAAUAUCUCGGUUUGGGAUGUUUAUAGGAGGUUAGAAUCUUGCUGUUCUGUCUUUAUUAGUACAAAUAAUAUAUUUGUACAGCCAUUGUUGGUUUGUUUUGCUAGAUACAUACACAUUGAUGAAUUUAUAUGAAUAAAAGUUAAAAAAAUAAAGGAUUCCUAUUAACUUUAGCCAUUGUUGAAGUCAAGUACUAAAAAACAACUAGACGACAAUAAAUUGUUAUUCAAACGAAACUUUGGAUGAUGAAAUGUUUCAAGCACUCGUAUCUUUUCUGUAGUUAAUACUCUUCAACAACUGACACACAGGUCUUUGUGCUCUAAGGAUCUCUCAACCUCGAAUACGUUCAAUUCUUCCAUGAAUCCAUUAAAAUAUUAAAAUUAAACAAUCUCUUUCUUCUAAAAAAUCAUAAGCUUUCUUGAUUAAUUGUUAUCAGAACCAUAAUUAAAAAUUUGUGAAUUAUUAUAAAAAUUGAAACUUUCAAAUGUGCUCUUCUAUUCCAAAUAUAUAAUUCUGCAUAAAGUUA
Molecule: long non-coding RNA, 2314 nt
Organism: Apis cerana (Asiatic honeybee)
Lineage: Eukaryota; Metazoa; Arthropoda; Insecta; Hymenoptera; Apidae
Source: RefSeq, a predicted model, not a curated record